GAUGAACGCUGGCGGCGUGCCUAAUACAUGCAAGUCGAGCGAACGGACGAGAAGCUUGCUUCUCUGAUGUUAGCGGCGGACGGGUGAGUAACACGUGGAUAACCUACCUAUAAGACUGGGAUAACUUCGGGAAACCGGAGCUAAUACCGGAUAAUAUUUUGAACCGCAUGGUUCAAAAGUGAAAGACGGUCUUGCUGUCACUUAUAGAUGGAUCCGCGCUGCAUUAGCUAGUUGGUAAGGUAACGGCUUACCAAGGCAACGAUGCAUAGCCGACCUGAGAGGGUGAUCGGCCACACUGGAACUGAGACACGGUCCAGACUCCUACGGGAGGCAGCAGUAGGGAAUCUUCCGCAAUGGGCGAAAGCCUGACGGAGCCACGCCGCGUGAGUGAUGAAGGUCUUCGGAUCGUAAAACUCUGUUAUUAGGGAAGAACAUAUGUGUAAGUAACUGUGCACAUCCUGACGGUACCUAAUCAGAAAGCCACGGCUAACUACGUG
Molecule: ribosomal RNA, 497 nt
Filed under: uncultured bacterium
Lineage: Bacteria
Description: partial 16S ribosomal RNA
Rfam family: Bacterial small subunit ribosomal RNA
Source: RNAcentral